AAUAGAACACAGCGACAGGCAGUAAGGACCAGGAGAACAGAGCAACUUGCUGUGGAGACCAGUAGGACACAGCGACAAGCAGUGAGGACAAGUAGAACACAGCGACAGGCAGUGAGGACCAGGAGAACAGAGCAACUAGCAGUGAGGACCAGGAGAAGAGAGCAACUAGCUGUGGAGACCAGUAGGACACAGCGACAAGCAGUGAGGACCAGCAGAACACAGCAGCAAGCGGUGAAGUCUUGCAGCUUCUGCCUGUCCCACAGCACCAGCUGCCCUUCAGUUGAUGGUGAAUAGAGAUCUGAUUAGCAUCAUUCAAUGGCUGUCAGGAAUUUUGAUGAAAGACUAGAUGUCACUGCUUUUGUGGAUAAUAAUUUUUAGAAGCACCUGUUUCUUCAGUGAACGAGGAAAUGACCUUCUAGCAGGCUAGGCCUGCGACUCCCGGACUUCAGCGUGAGGAUCUUCCAUGGAAAUCCCACUAUGAAUGGCAGUAAGACUUGAUCCUCACCUGUGGUUCUCCUGAGUUCAGUAGAGAGAAGCAAGUAGCCCCAACAGAUGCAGCAGAACAUGUUAGAGGUCAGAUAAUAAAGAGGACGUCCACCCCUCUCCACCCAAGAAAACUAAUCAGAACAACAAAAUACCCAAGGUGCAGCUGGCAGAGUGCAAACCUGGAGCUGCUGGUGGCCUUCCUGCCACUUGAAGAGACCCUGGGAAUGGAGCCAACACAGGGACAUGCAGAGAGACAAACUUCUGACAAUAACACUUAAAUACUUGGAUGCUGUCAUUUCUGAAGCUUCUGACAAUAACACUUAAAUACUUGGAUUCUGUCAUUUCUGAAGCUGUGUUGAUUCCU
Molecule: non-coding RNA, 850 nt
Organism: Equus caballus (horse)
Lineage: Eukaryota; Metazoa; Chordata; Mammalia; Perissodactyla; Equidae
Source: RefSeq, a predicted model, not a curated record